GAACUGAUGGAGACAUCAGCUGCAGCGUGAAGAACCACGUCAGUCACGCACAGAAGACCAUUAGACUCAAACCCUGUCCUGCUGAUGGUUCUGUUGGGUCUGUUAGGAGCUUUUCACAUCUACAUGAGACACACGUCAGCAAAGAAACAGGAAGAUCAGAAAGUGAGGAUGAGAAAGAUUGAGAGAAGGACAUGAAGACACAGCAGAAGAUUCAUGAGAGUAGCAGCAGAUCAUCACAUCUAUUUACACUAUAAUCUCACUGAUUCUCACAUCAAUCCAGCUUUCAGAUGUCGAAUAAAACCAGGAGACAGAAGAAGCUUUCAUAAUCAACACUGAUCUUUACAUGUGUUGUGUUUAUUUCUUGUCGAGUAUGUUGAUGUAUCUCCGUGAGAAUUAUUUCUGUCCGAUCUGAAUCUGCUUCUCAUGAAAUCACCAUUUAAACUCAUUUAGAGGCAGAAUUACAGACUUGUGAUGAAUGAAUAAACCAGACUAACUACAGUUUAGUCAUGAAGGUAUUUUUAAAAUUGUCUGUUGUACAUUUGUUUUUGCAUUAGUUUUAUUAAUUUGUCAUCGUGCUUUGACUGAACUAACAGUAUUUUUGUUUCAUCACAUGGAACACCUUUUGUUCAUUCAUGAUAAAACUCUUCUGGCCGAUUGUGACGUCAUUCUGUGUGUUUAUUUUCUAGAGUUAUUUCACAUUUCUGUUUUUCAUUUUGUAUCUGUCUCUUCUGUGUCAGAUGAUUUAACUGUUCACAUCUGUUUCUCUUGAUCUGUGUCUCAGUUUUAGGUUGUUACUGUUAAAAUUAAAUAAUAUUAAAUAUGAUCUUGAC
Molecule: long non-coding RNA, 830 nt
Organism: Cyprinus carpio carpio
Lineage: Eukaryota; Metazoa; Chordata; Actinopteri; Cypriniformes; Cyprinidae
Source: Ensembl